AAAGUCGUAACAAGGUUUCCGUAGGUGAACCUGCGGAAGGAUCAUUACAGAGUUCAUGCCCCUCACGGGGUAGAUCUCCCACCCUUGAAUAUACUACCUUUGUUGCUUUGGCGGGCUCGUGCCCGCCAAAAGAUUCAAACCAACCUGAAUUUAGUGUCGUCUGAGUACUAUAUAAUAGUUAAAACUUUCAACAACGGAUCUCUUGGUUCUG
Molecule: unclassified non-coding RNA, 211 nt
Filed under: Ascomycota sp.
Lineage: Eukaryota; Fungi; Ascomycota
Description: partial contains small subunit ribosomal RNA, internal transcribed spacer 1, and 5.8S ribosomal RNA
Rfam family: Eukaryotic small subunit ribosomal RNA (bases 1-47)
Source: RNAcentral